Molecule: long non-coding RNA, 1864 nt
Organism: Mus musculus (house mouse)
Lineage: Eukaryota; Metazoa; Chordata; Mammalia; Rodentia; Muridae
Product: predicted gene, 33158
Exons: 3
Source: RefSeq, a predicted model, not a curated record
CAGCGUCGUUCUUCCUGGCCAGUCGAGCGCGCGCAAGAGUACAUCAAGAGUGUAAAGUGCCUCCUAGCUUCACAGAAGAGUUCACAGGAGUGUCAGUGAGGAAAGAGUGGGCAUCUAUAAACUCAGUGGGGUCGUCUGCAAAUUCUGCAAAUUUCCCCCCAAAAGAACAGGCUCCUGGCUUCCUUUGAAUGAAGAUGUAGAACUCUCAUCUCCUCCAGCACUGUGCCUGCAUGGGCCUUUCCAUGCUUCCCACCAUGAUAACGGACUGAAACUCAGAGCCUAUGAGCCAGCCCCAAUUAAAUGCUGUCCUUGUAAGAGCUGCCUUGGUCCUGGUGUCUGCUCACAGCAAUGGAAACCCUCCCUGAGACACCCACAGAGACCAAGGACCAGAGCCCAGGCAGAAGUGGCUGAGAAGAAGCACAUGCCUUCAAGUUCUCAUCAAGUACCAUCUUGCAAAUCUUUCUCCACGGACUUUCCUUUCCCCCCAAAGGACAGAGCAGUGACUUCAUAAGGCUUUGCAGAGUCAUCUCCAGGCAGACAUCCAUAUGCUUUAUCCUUUAAUCAUUUCUCUUAUGAUAAGGUUUGUAGUUUCUCACCAUACACCAGCUGCUGCUAAGUGUGAUCACAGUGCUCCAUCCAGGGUAAGUGCGGCCUAAGACUCCAUGUCUUCUUUUGCAAACAGUGUUUUUGUCAGUAUGGCCCGACAUCUCACAGGUGCAUAACUCUUUGGUUUGUACUCAGUGCUUUUGGUAGGCAAUAUUUCAGAUCUUUCUAUGUGAAUUAUUGUCUCACACAUCUACAAUUGCUUUGGGGAACAUUAGAGGGAAAAAUAUGUUAUUUAUCUCAUUUAAAUUUUACCAUGCUUGAUUAGUAAUUGUAUAGUUUAUGAAAAUACAGAGGGAUCCUGAUUUCUCCCAGCUUCAUGCCACUCACGGUAGCAUUUAUCUCUAUUUAAAGGCCUGUCUAAGUUUCUGGCUUCGAUACUGGCCAGAAAUUGGAGGUUCCUCCUGUUGGUUGCCAAUAUAGAUUGAUCACAAAUUGGUGCUUGUCUUAUAUAAAGUAAUCAGCUUGCUGUUUGUCUAGAUGACUAGAGGAGACUCUGACCCACAUUUCUCCAUCUUGGCAGUUCAAACAGCAUAAGAUUAUAGUGCUGGACCCCGAGGUCCUGAGAACAGGAGCUAGCCUCAUCCCUCACCGGCUGCACAAUUCAGGCAAGAACAGGACCUGUACCUCUGCUGGGUAGGACAGCAGAGCUGACCCUGAUGAUGAGUGUGGGUGAUCUGGCCCUCAAGGACAGGUUAUCAGGAGAACUAGUCCUGCCCCUUGACAAGGGAAGCACUGGGUGAGCUAGCUGGGGAAGUUCUAGAGAACUCAUCCUGAUGGUACAGGCACAGGAAAGCUGUCAGGGUAAUCAACUCAGCUCCCUCCCAGACCCAGGUCCAGGGCUUUGAGUUGGCCCACCCCAUUUAUGACCUGCUGGAGCACUUGAAGGGGCCAGUCCUGGAGACCAAAGCUGCAGGAUCUCCAUGAUACAGGGCAACAACAACAGGAUAGAUAACCAAGAGGACUCCCAGUGAGGAUCCAGCAUUGAUAGUGUGGCAGAAGCCAGAGACCUCGAAUCAGGCCAGUGACCCAUUAAAAUAAACGUUUACAGGUGAAGAUAUGAGGACAGAGGAAUAUACUAUGGGGCACACUGUGGGACAGUGAGAUACACUGUGGGAAACACUGUGGGACACACUGUGAUCACACUGUGGGACACACUAUGAGACAGUGCAGCUCCCACCACAAGAUAUCUUUUUUUGUUGUUAUUAUUGUCGUUAAUUUUCUCAUUUUUAAAAUUUUUAUCUUAUUUCAUUCUCUUUGG